AUUGAACGCUGGCGGCAUGCUUUACACAUGCAAGUCGAACGGUAACAGGCCGCAAGGUGCUGACGAGUGGCGCACGGGUGAGUAAUGCAUCGGAACGUGCCCAAUCGUGGGGGAUAACUACUCGAAAGAGUAGCUAAUACCGCAUACGAUCUAUGGAUGAAAGCGGGGGACCGUAAGGCCUCGCGCGAUUGGAGCGGCCGAUGUCAGAUUAGGUAGUUGGUGGGGUAAAGGCUCACCAAGCCAACGAUCUGUAGCUGGUCUGAGAGGACGACCAGCCACACUGGGACUGAGACACGGCCCAGACUCCUACGGGAGGCAGCAGUGGGGAAUUUUGGACAAUGGGCGCAAGCCUGAUCCAGCAAUGCCGCGUGCAGGAAGAAGGCCUUCGGGUUGUAAACUGCUUUUGUACGGAACGAAACGGCUCUGGUUAAUACCCGGGGCUAAUGACGGUACCGUAAGAAUAAGCACCGGCUAACUACGUG
Molecule: ribosomal RNA, 482 nt
Filed under: uncultured bacterium
Lineage: Bacteria
Description: partial 16S ribosomal RNA
Rfam family: Bacterial small subunit ribosomal RNA
Source: RNAcentral